GACGAACGCUGGCGGCGUGCUUAACACAUGCAAGUCGAACGGCAAGGCCCUGCUUUUGUGGGGUGCUCGAGUGGCGAACGGGUGAGUAACACGUGAGUAACCUGCCCUUGACUUUGGGAUAACUUCAGGAAACUGGGGCUAAUACCGGAUAGGAGCUCCUGCUGCAUGGUGGGGGUUGGAAAGUUUCGGCGGUUGGGGAUGGACUCGCGGCUUAUCAGCUUGUUGGUGGGGUAGUGGCUUACCAAGGCUUUGACGGGUAGCCGGCCUGAGAGGGUGACCGGCCACAUUGGGACUGAGAUACGGCCCAGACUCCUACGGGAGGCAGCAGUGGGGAAUAUUGCACAAUGGGCGGAAGCCUGAUGCAGCAACGCCGCGUGCGGGAUGACGGCCUUCGGGUUGUAAACCGCUUUCUCCUGUGACGAAGCGUGAGUGACGGUAAUGGGUAAAGAAGCACCGGCUAACUACGUG
Molecule: ribosomal RNA, 468 nt
Filed under: uncultured bacterium
Lineage: Bacteria
Description: partial 16S ribosomal RNA
Rfam family: Bacterial small subunit ribosomal RNA
Source: RNAcentral